RNAcentral lists this ribosomal RNA (1146 nucleotides) under uncultured organism. Its description in RNAcentral is "bacterial SSU rRNA". It matches the Rfam family "Bacterial small subunit ribosomal RNA", at positions 283 to 1457 of the family's 1533-position model. The record is from RNAcentral.
GUAGGGGGCGUGAGAGCGCGGACCCCCACACUGGCACUGAGAUACGGGCCAGACUCCUACGGGAGGCAGCAGUAAGGGAUAUUGCGCAAUGGACGAAAGUCAGACGCAGCGACGCCGCGUGGGCGAUGAAGGCCUUCGGGUUGUAAAGCCCUUUUAUGGGGGAAGAGAAAAAGGACGGUACCCCAGGAAUAAGUCCCGGCUAACUACGUGCCAGCAGCCGCGGUAAAACGUAGGGGACAAGCGUUAUCCGGAUUCACUGGGCGUAAAGAGCGUUGAGGCGGUUCCGUAAGUUGGGCGUGAAAGCUCCGGGCUUAACUCGGAGAUGUCGUUCAAUACUGCGGGGCUUGAGGACAGCAGAGGAAGGUGGAAUUCCCGGUGUAGUGGUGAAAUGCGUAGAUAUCGGGAGGAACACCCGUGGCGAAGGCGGCCUUCUGGGCUGUUCCUGACGCUGAAGGCGAAAGCUAGGGGAGCGAACGGGAUUAGAUACCCCGGUAGUCCUAGCUGUAAACGAUGGAUGCUGGGUGUGGGGGGUGUAAAUUCCCUCUGUGCCGAAGCAAACGCGUUAAGCAUCCCGCCUGGGGACUACGGCCGCAAGGCUAAAACUCAAACGAAUUGACGGGGGCCCGCACAAGCAGCGGAGCGUGUGGUUUAAUUCGAUGCUACACGAAGAACCUUACCUGGGUUUGACAUGCACGUGGUAGGGAACCGAAAGGGGACCGACCUUCGGGAGCGUGCACAGGUGCUGCAUGGCUGUCGUCAGCUCGUGCCGUGAGGUGUCGGGUUAAGUCCCGUAACGAGCGCAACCCUUGCCCUUAGUUACAAGUGUCUAAGGGGACUGCCCGGGACAACUGGGAGGAAGGUGGGGAUGACGUCAAGUCAGCAUGGCCUUUAUAUCCAGGGCUACACACACGCUACAAUGGCCGGUACAAUAGGUUGCGAAGUCGUGAGGCGGAGCCAAUCCUCAAAGCCGGUCUCAGUUCGAAUUGCAGUCUGCAACUCGACUGCAUGAAGCUGGAGUUGCUAGUAAUCGCAGGUCAGCUAUACUGCGGUGAAUACGUUCCCGGGCCUUGUACACACCGCCCGUCACGUCAUGGAAGCUGGCAACGCCUGAAGCCGGUGAGAAAACCCGAAAGGGAGGCAGCCGUC